UCCUCUUCCUCGGAACCUCACCAGGAGGAGCCAAGCCCCUCAGUCGAGCCCUUGAUUCGGAUCCGAGGCGCCAUUCCUCACGAAGGCAGCUGCGGACCACAUUGCAGUUCACACUGGGGCAGGUCAAGGAAAUGGAAAAAAUGUUCAAGAAACCCAGUACCCAGAUGCGCUUGCCAGACAUGGUUCGUCCAUCGGAGAGCAGAAGAGAGGAAGAGUGAGAGGGCUGUCGUAUUACAGAGCAUACCUCCUCGUAUUGAAAAGGUCCUUCUCCUUAGGGAAAGGGAUGACAAUCCCUAGAGUGCAAUCUAUGUUCAGGAGCAAGAGGGAAAUUUGGAGACACGUGUACUCAAUAUACAGCUUAACUAAAAUUCAGCACUCAUGUUGACAAUAAAAUCAUGAAUUUCCAAGUUA
Peromyscus leucopus (white-footed mouse) is the source of this 411-nucleotide long non-coding RNA. RefSeq lists it as uncharacterized. The record is from RefSeq and is a predicted model, not a curated record. The transcript has 2 exons. NCBI's taxonomy places the organism in Eukaryota, Metazoa, Chordata, Mammalia, Rodentia, Cricetidae.